RNAcentral lists this transfer RNA (61 nucleotides) under Ixodes ovatus. RNAcentral's name for it is "tRNA-Val". Lineage: Eukaryota; Metazoa; Arthropoda; Arachnida; Ixodida; Ixodidae. The record is from RNAcentral.
UGAAAUGAAAUCAUUAGAUGUUUCAUUUACAAUGAAAAUUAGUUUUUUAAAACCAUUUUAA